UAGGGAAUCUUCGGCAAUGGGGGCAACCCUGACCGAGCAACGCCGCGUGAGUGAAGAAGGUUUUCGGAUCGUAAAGCUCUGUUGUAAGUCAAGAACGGGUGUGAGAGUGGAAAGUUCACACUGUGACGGUAGCUUACCAGAAAGGGACGGCUAACUACGUGCCAGCAGCCGCGGUAAUACGUAGGUCCCGAGCGUUGUCCGGAUUUAUUGGGCGUAAAGCGAGCGCAGGCGGUUUGAUAAGUCUGAAGUUAAAGGCUGUGGCUCAACCAUAGUUCGCUUUGGAAACUGUCAAACUUGAGUGCAGAAGGGGAGAGUGGAAUUCCAUGUGUAGCGGUGAAAUGCGUAGAUAUAUGGAGGAACACCGGUGGCGAAAGCGGCUCUCUGGUCUGUAACUGACGCUGAGGCUCGAAAGCGUGGGGAGCGAACAGGAUUAGAUACCCUGGUAGUCCACGCCGUAAACGAUGAGUGCUAGGUGUUGGAUCCUUUCCGGGAUUCAGUGCCGCAGCUAACGCAUUAAGCACUCCGCCUGGGGAGUACGACCGCAAGGUUGAA
This 552-nucleotide ribosomal RNA is filed under the name uncultured bacterium. RNAcentral describes it as "partial 16S ribosomal RNA". It matches the Rfam family "Bacterial small subunit ribosomal RNA", at positions 355 to 898 of the family's 1533-position model. The record is from RNAcentral.